This 997-nucleotide long non-coding RNA is filed under the name Homo sapiens (human). Its description in RNAcentral is "HSALNT0158816". The record is from RNAcentral. Lineage: Eukaryota; Metazoa; Chordata; Mammalia; Primates; Hominidae.
CAGAAUCUCACUCUGUCACCCAGACUGGAGUGCAGUGGCAAGAUCUCAGCUCACUGCAACCUCCGCCUCCUGGCUUCAAGCGAUUAUCCUGCCUCAGCCUCCCAAGUAGCUGGGAUUACAAGCAUGUACCACUACACCCAGAUAAGUUUUUUUGUAUUUUUAGUAGAAACUGGACUUCACCUUAUUGGCCAGGCUGGUCUCGAACACUUGACCCCAAGUGAUUCACCUACCUUAGCCUCCCAAAGUGUUGGGAUUACAGGCAUGAGCCACUGUGCCCAGACUAAAAUGCCAUCCAUUUUAAAACAAACUGUUGUUUUAUUCAAAACUAAGAAAAUAAUUUGCUGCUAGACUGUGGAACACAUCUUUAUUACCACUUAUAAUCUUUUUAUGCUUAGUCAAAGAGCUAUUUGAUGUAGACAUAAGUUUUUAAAAAUUAUUAUUGUAUAUUAUUCUUUUGUAUAUAUUAAAUGAAAAAUAUAUGGAAAGUACGUUAGUUAAUGUGUUCUUAAAAUAUCUUCACAUUCAAAAUUUCUCUCUUUUAAAUCAAGUUGGGACCCAAAGGCAUCAAUAUCAGGGGUCCUCCCCCUGUGCCCCUGAAAAAUAAUCCCCUGUUCCAUCAAGGUUCUCGCUGCAAUAUUUCUGCAAUGAGUCCACACUGUCAUCUCUUAUUUCAAGACUAGUUAAAAUGCUAGUUAAAAUGGCACUUUUUUAUCUUGGCAGAAUGUAUUGACAAUAACACGUAUUUCCUGACUACUAUCUAGGGAACAGAGACUGUAUAAGUCCUGAUUUAAUAAAUGUUAUAUAUUUCUAAUUCAUUAUUUUCCUCUUUAUUUUUAUCAUCUUGAGGAGUUUGGAGAAUGAAAUAACUUCUUAAGAAACAUCUUAAACAAGUCAGUUCAAGACUAUCUCUGCUGUCUAUGUAGAAAAUCCAAAAGGAUCAACAAAAUUAAUCCUGGACCUAACAAACAAUUACUGCAAAAUGGCAGGAUACAAUGGU